Molecule: long non-coding RNA, 403 nt
Filed under: Sorghum bicolor (sorghum)
Lineage: Eukaryota; Viridiplantae; Streptophyta; Magnoliopsida; Poales; Poaceae
Description: long non-coding RNA (SBIC_LNC014787)
Source: RNAcentral
GCGGUGGGAAAACGGGAUGCGGGCGAGGUUUGAGACAUUUAUAUGGCUCGGAAGGCAAGAUAUCCCGGGAUUUUCGGGAUUGAAUCGGCCAUGGGAGAGUUCGUCUCGGCUGCGUGCGCUGAGGAAGAAGGAAAGGUGGGAGAGGCCGCUGACAGGCGGGACCCGAUCGUCAGCGUAAGAAGAGAGGAGAGGAGGAAGGCGCCUGCUUGGGCCGGAUUGCUGGGCUUGCCGCUGGGUAGCGGGGCCAAGGUGCCGAAGGGAGUGGGGGCUAGGCCGCGCAAGGCUCUGGGCCACCAGGCCGAAGCCGAGAGAGGGUGAGGCAUUGCUUUGUUGUUUUUUUUCUUUUUUUUCUAUUUCAAAGUCAUUUUCAAAUAGAAAUUUGAGUACAACUAAAUUCAAACCA